UUGGUGGGGAACUUUUUCUAGUUCCAGUAUCUUUGUUGUUUCAGCUCUUUUCAGAGAGUUGGGUUCGGUGGUGCGUCUGGCGCCAGAUCUGAGAUCGGGGAUCUCUUGACGGUGCGGUGCAGCCGCUUGGUGCGGGGCAGGCGCUUUCGCUGACGACAUUACUGUACUUUCUUCAAUUCUAGUUUUGAGUCUGUUCUUCUUUGUGCAAGAUUUGAGUUGUGUUUGGGUUCUUCGUCAAGAGACCAGGAGUUCUCCUUUUCCCAUCUCCAAUUCGUCUCCACCUUGCUUUCGUCGUCGUUUUGGCUUCCAUGGUGUAGUCCUGCUGCCUUGAUACUGUCUGGAUUAUGGGUUUGGACUUUAAGGCCAUUAUGCAGCAA
This 377-nucleotide long non-coding RNA is filed under the name Brassica napus (rape). RNAcentral describes it as "long non-coding RNA (BNAP_LNC005286)". Lineage: Eukaryota; Viridiplantae; Streptophyta; Magnoliopsida; Brassicales; Brassicaceae. The record is from RNAcentral.